Molecule: long non-coding RNA, 672 nt
Organism: Planococcus citri (citrus mealybug)
Lineage: Eukaryota; Metazoa; Arthropoda; Insecta; Hemiptera; Pseudococcidae
Exons: 2
Source: RefSeq, a predicted model, not a curated record
ACGCACGUAGUUGAACAAACAUUACAUACCGAGGCACCGAACUUUUAAAACCUCGAUAUUGCAACUAAACCAGGUCGUCAUAUUGUUCAGCAUCAACUGCGUGUUCACACGUCCAAUCCGUCAACAUGAAAUCUCUGGUUAUCUUCUGCUUCGUGACCAUCUUGGUAUCUGCCAUCAAUGGGCAGCAGCAACAACAACAGCAGCUUUCUAAUAUCGAUUCUAGCGACGUCUACAAUCAAAUGUUUAAACUAGCCAGGCAUUGCCAAUCGGUGAUCAAUAGGAUUAAUCCUGUCUUGGCAUCUCAUCUUUCAUCUCAAAGUGAUGUAAUUUACGAUUCCUCGGUACCUCUGUUGAAAGAAUUACAACUUCAGCUGAUCAGUGUGUCGUGUGAAACCAUUAUUUAUGGUUCGGUAGCUGGUCAAAAAGCUGCACUGAGUGAAGCUUUGAAUGGUAAUGAUAAUAAUCAACAGAUGCUUAAAAAUCACCCUUGAAUAUCGAAUAAUUACUCAAAUGUCUCAUCGCAUAUUUUUUAAAAAAAAUACUCCUGCACGUCUUUUUAUCCUUCUCUACUUUUAAGUUCCAUUUACUAAAUUUUCCGCAAGCAAUUACAUAUUUCCGAACCAAUUAGUCUACAUGAUUGUUAAUUUAUUAUGAAUAAACAAGUUUUAAUCA